Molecule: non-coding RNA, 45 nt
Organism: Schistosoma haematobium
Lineage: Eukaryota; Metazoa; Platyhelminthes; Trematoda; Strigeidida; Schistosomatidae
Source: Rfam
AUCCAGCUGACGAGUCCCAAAUAGGACGAAACAUGCAUCCUAGAU